Molecule: long non-coding RNA, 1065 nt
Filed under: Cottoperca gobio
Lineage: Eukaryota; Metazoa; Chordata; Actinopteri; Perciformes; Bovichtidae
Description: lncRNA (ENSCGOG00000008742.1)
Source: RNAcentral
AGAGAGGGGCGGAGCUGUCGACUGAUCACCAUCUGGUGGUGAGUUGGAUCAAGGGGUGGGGGAAGACUCUGGACAGACCUGGUAAACCCAAACGGGUAGUGCGGGUGAACUGGGAACGUCUGGAGGAAGCCCCUGUCCUGGGGAUCUUUAACUCACACCUCCGGCGGAGCUUUUCAGCCAUCCCUGUGGAGGUUGGGGGCAUUGAACCUGAGUGGGCGAUGUUCAAAACCUCUAUUGCUGAAGCUGCGGUGAUGAGCUGUGGUCUCAAGGUCUUAGGUGCCUCAAGGGGCGGUAACCCUCGAACACCGUGGUGGACCCCGGUGGUCAGGGAAGCCGUCCGACUGAAGAAGGAGUCCUUCCGGGUUAUGUUAUCCGGGAGGACUCCGGAAACAGUUGCAGGGUAUCGAAGGACUAGAAGGGCGGCAGCUUCUGCCGUGUCAGAGGCAAAGCAGCGGGUGUGGGAGAAGUUCGGAGAAGCUAUGGAGAAGGACUUUCGGUCGGCACCAAGGUGCUUCUGGAAAACCAUCCGGCACCUCAGGAGGGGGAAGCAAGGAACCAUCCAAGCUGUGUACAGCAAGGGUGGGACCCUGCUGACUUCAACUGAGAAGGUUAUCGGCCGGUGGAAGGAGCACUUUGAGGAACUCCUGAAUCCGACUAACACGCCCUCUAUGGUUGAGGCAGAGCUGGAAGCUGAUGGGGGAUCAUCGUCAAUUUCCCUGAUGGAAGUCACUGAGGUAGUCAAAAAACUCCACAGUGGCAAAGCCGCAGGGGUUGAUGAGAUCCGUCCAGAAAUGCUGAAGGCUUUGGGUGUUGAGGGGCUGUCUUGGUUGACACGCCUCGUCAACAUUGCGUGGAAGUCUGGGACAGUGCCUAGGGGUUGGCAGACCGGGGUGGUGGUUCCCCUAUUUAAAAAGGGGGACCAGAGAGUGUGUGCCAACUACAGGGGUAUCACACUUCUCAGCCUCCCUGGUAAAGUCUACUCCAAGGUACUGGAAAGGAGGGUUCGGCCGGUAGUCGAACCUCUGAUUGAAGAGGAACAAUGCGGAUUCCGUCCUGGUCGUGGAA